CCUGAUGCAGCAACGCCGCGUGAGCGAUGAAGGCCUUCGGGUCGUAAAGCUCUGUCCUCAAGGAAGAUAAUGACGGUACUUGAGGAGGAAGCCCCGGCUAACUACGUGCCAGCAGCCGCGGUGAUACGUAGGGUGCGAGCGUUGUCCGGAUUUAUUGGGCGUAAAGGGCUCGUAGGUGGUUGAUCGCGUCGGAAGUGUAAUCUUGGGGCUUAACCCUGAGCGUGCUUUCGAUACGGGUUGACUUGAGGAAGGUAGGGGAGAAUGGAAUUCCUGGUGGAGCGGUGGAAUGCG
RNAcentral lists this ribosomal RNA (291 nucleotides) under Goniomonas pacifica. RNAcentral's name for it is "partial Bacterial small subunit ribosomal RNA". It matches the Rfam family "Bacterial small subunit ribosomal RNA", at positions 382 to 690 of the family's 1533-position model. The record is from RNAcentral. Lineage: Eukaryota; Cryptophyceae; Goniomonadida; Goniomonadaceae.